CGCCCUUAGAGUUUGAUCAUGGCUCAGGAUAAACGCUGGCGGCGUGCCUAAUACAUGCAAGUCGAGCGGGAUUGGUGAAUCGCAAGUGAAGCCAGUCUAGCGGCGGACGGCCGAGUAACACGUGGGUGACCUGCCUUGAAGUGGGGAAUAACGGUUCGAAAGAAUCGCUAAUACCGCAUGCGAUCGUAGCUUCGUUGUUGCGAUCAAAGCCGCAAGGCGCUUCGAGAGGGGCCUGCGUCCGAUUAGCUAGUUGGUGGGGUAAUGGCCUACCAAGGCUCCGAUCGGUAGCUGGUCUGAGAGGAUGAUCAGCCAGACUGGGACUGAGACACGGCCCAGACUCCUACGGGAGGCAGCAGUAAGGAAUUUUCCACAAUGGGCGAAAGCCUGAUGGAGCAACGCCGCGUGGGCGAAGAAGGCCUUCGGGUCGUAAAGCUCUUUUCUAGGGGACGAUAAUGACGGUAUCUUAGGAAUAAGCUACGGCUAACUACGUGCCAGCAGCUGCGGUAAUACGUAGGUGGCGAGCGUUGUCUGGAUUUAUUGGGCGUAAAGAGCGCGAAGGCGGGGUCUUAAGUUGGGCGUGAAAUCCUCUGGCUUAACUGGGGGAGGUCGUUCAAUACUGGGGUCCUUGAGGGUGGACGGGGAGAGCGGAAUUCUCCGGUGUAGUGGUGAAAUGCGUAGAUAUCGGGAGGAACACUAGUGGCGAAGGCGGCUCUCUAGAUCUACUCCUGACGCUCAAGCGCGAAAGCGUGGGUAGCGAACGGAAUUAGAUACUCUGGUAGUUCCACGCUGUAAACGAUGAGCACUAGGUGUAGUGGGUAUCGACUCUCCACUGUGUCCAGCUAACGCAAUAAGUGCUCUGCCUGGGGACUACGGUCGCAAGGUUAAAACUCAAAGGAAUUG
RNAcentral lists this ribosomal RNA (900 nucleotides) under uncultured bacterium. RNAcentral describes it as "bacterial SSU rRNA". It matches the Rfam family "Bacterial small subunit ribosomal RNA", at positions 1 to 912 of the family's 1533-position model. The record is from RNAcentral.